This 65-nucleotide transfer RNA is filed under the name Eurrhacini sp. UPOL A00622. RNAcentral's name for it is "tRNA-Phe". The record is from RNAcentral. Lineage: Eukaryota; Metazoa; Arthropoda; Insecta; Coleoptera; Lycidae.
UUUUAAUAGCUUAAGUUAGAGCAUGAUAUUGAAGAUGUCAGGGUAGAUUAGUUUCUUUAAAAUAU